Molecule: unclassified non-coding RNA, 232 nt
Filed under: plant metagenome
Description: partial contains small subunit ribosomal RNA, internal transcribed spacer 1, and 5.8S ribosomal RNA
Rfam family: 5.8S ribosomal RNA (bases 185-232)
Source: RNAcentral
UUUCCGUAGGUGAACCUGCGGAAGGAUCAUUAUAAGAGUUUUGGAUACUGCGCUCCUCUUCGCGAGGAGCCGUUGCUCUUCGGAGGUGGUGUCAAUAAACAUUGCACACUGUGAACGGUUGGGCUACUAGCCUACUUUUUUCAUUUACUCUUGUCAUGAACGUCAAAUACUAUAAUAUAAAGAAAACUUUCAACAACGGAUCUCUUGGCUCUCGCAUCGAUGAAGAACGAGC